AACUCUGAUGCAGCAAUGCCGCGUGAGGGAAGACGGUCUUCGGAUUGUAAACCUCUGUCCUUGGUGAAGAUAAUGACGGUAGCCAAGGAGGAAGCUCCGGCUAACUACGUGCCAGCAGCCGCGGUAAUACGUAGGGAGCAAGCGUUGUCCGGAUUUACUGGGUGUAAAGGGUGCGUAGGCGGCUCUUUAAGUCGGGCGUGAAAGCUGUGGGCUUAACCCACAAAUUGCGUUCGAAACUGGAGGGCUUGAGUGAAGUAGAGGUAGGCGGAAUA
This 272-nucleotide ribosomal RNA is filed under the name Faecalispora sporosphaeroides. Its description in RNAcentral is "[Clostridium] sporosphaeroides partial 16S ribosomal RNA". It matches the Rfam family "Bacterial small subunit ribosomal RNA", at positions 379 to 668 of the family's 1533-position model. The record is from RNAcentral. Lineage: Bacteria; Bacillati; Bacillota; Clostridia; Eubacteriales; Oscillospiraceae.